RNAcentral lists this ribosomal RNA (295 nucleotides) under uncultured bacterium. Its description in RNAcentral is "partial 16S ribosomal RNA". It matches the Rfam family "Bacterial small subunit ribosomal RNA", at positions 334 to 646 of the family's 1533-position model. The record is from RNAcentral.
GUGGCCUACGGGACGCAGCAGUGGGGGAUAUUGCACAAUGGGGGAAACCCUGAUGCAGCGACGCCGCGUGGGGGAAGAAGCGCCUCGGCGCGUAAAGCCCUGUCAGCAGGGAAGAAAAUGACGGUACCUGAAGAAGAAGCCCCGGCUAACUACGUGCCAGCAGCAGCGGUAAUACGUAGGGGGCAAGCGUUAUCCGGAUUUACUGGGUGUAAAGGGGGCGUAGACGGCGAUGCAAGCCAGGAGUGAAAGCCCGUGGCUCAUCCCCGGGCCUGCUCUUGGAACUGCGUGGCGAGAG